This 23-nucleotide non-coding RNA is filed under the name Cricetulus griseus (Chinese hamster). Lineage: Eukaryota; Metazoa; Chordata; Mammalia; Rodentia; Cricetidae. The record is from RNAcentral.
UGGAAAGGAGGAACUACUACAAG